GACGAACGCUGGCGGCGUGCCUAACACAUGCAAGUCGAACGGAGAUGUUGAUUUCGGUUGACGUCUUAGUGGCGAACGGUGAGUAACGCGUGAACAAUCUGACCUUAAGAGGGGGAUAACAACGAGAAAUCGUUGCUAAUACCGCAUAAGACCACAAUGCCGCAUGGCGAAGGGGUCAAAGGAGCAAUCCGCUUAAGGAGGGGUUCGCGUCCCAUUAGGUAGUAGGUGAGGUAACGGCUCACCUAGCCGACGAUGGGUAGCCGAGCUGAGAGGCUGAUCGGCCACACUGGAACUGAGACACGGUCCAGACUCCUACGGGAGGCAGCAGUGGGGAAUAUUGGGCAAUGGGCGCAAGCCUGACCCAGCAACGCCGCGUGAGGGAAGAAGGUUUUCGGAUUGUAAACCUCUGUCGCAGAUGACGAAACAAAUGACGGUAAUCUGUGAGGAAGCCCCGGCUAACUACGUGCCAGCAGCCGCGGUAAU
RNAcentral lists this ribosomal RNA (483 nucleotides) under uncultured bacterium. RNAcentral's name for it is "bacterial SSU rRNA". It matches the Rfam family "Bacterial small subunit ribosomal RNA", at positions 28 to 524 of the family's 1533-position model. The record is from RNAcentral.